GUUACUCAAUCAAGACAACCUCUGCGCGGUGAGUGACAGGCAACGGAUACAAUGUAUCCGGCAAAUCGUCUUA
Molecule: ribozyme, 73 nt
Filed under: unclassified sequences
Description: HDV ribozyme from F. prausnitzii
Rfam family: HDV ribozyme from F. prausnitzii
Source: RNAcentral